This 253-nucleotide ribosomal RNA is filed under the name uncultured bacterium. RNAcentral describes it as "partial 16S ribosomal RNA". It matches the Rfam family "Bacterial small subunit ribosomal RNA", at positions 524 to 776 of the family's 1533-position model. The record is from RNAcentral.
UACGUAGGGUGCGAGCGUUGUCCGGAAUUACUGGGCGUAAAGAGCUUGUAGGUGGUUUGUCGCGUUGUUCGUGAAAUCUCACGGCUUAACUGUGAGCGUGCGGGCGAUACGGGCAGACUAGAGUACUGCAGGGGAGACUGGAAUUCCUGGUGUAGCGGUGGAAUGCGCAGAUAUCAGGAGGAACACCGGUGGCGAAGGCGGGUCUCUGGGACGGUACUGACGCUGAGGCGCGAAAGCGUGGGGAGCGAACAGG